This 253-nucleotide ribosomal RNA is filed under the name uncultured bacterium. RNAcentral describes it as "partial 16S ribosomal RNA". It matches the Rfam family "Bacterial small subunit ribosomal RNA", at positions 524 to 776 of the family's 1533-position model. The record is from RNAcentral.
UACGAAGGGGGCUAGCGUUGCUCGGAAUUACUGGGCGUAAAGGGCGCGUAGGCGGCGUGACAAGUCACUUGUGAAAUCUCCGGGCUUAACUCGGAACGGUCAAGUGAUACUGUCGUGCUAGAGUACAGAAGGGGCAACUGGAAUUCUCGGUGUAGCGGUGAAAUGCGUAGAUAUCGAGAGGAACACCUGCGGCGAAGGCGGGUUGCUGGGCUGAUACUGACGCUGAGGCGCGAAAGCUAGGGGAGCGAACGGG